UACAGAGGGUGCAAGCGUUGUUCGGAAUUACUGGGCGUAAAGGGGAGGUAGGUUGUCUCGUGCGUCUGGGGUGAAAGCCCUGAGCUUAACUCAGGAAGUGCCUCGGAUACGACAAGACUAGAGUCCUGGAGAGGGUGGUAGAAUUCCCGGUGUAGCGGUGAAAUGCGUAGAGAUCGGGAGGAAUACCAGAGGCGAAGGCGGCCACCUGGACAGGUACUGACACUCAACUCCGAAAGCGUGGGGAGCAAACAGG
Molecule: ribosomal RNA, 253 nt
Filed under: uncultured bacterium
Lineage: Bacteria
Description: partial 16S ribosomal RNA
Rfam family: Bacterial small subunit ribosomal RNA
Source: RNAcentral